AGCACGGUGGCGCAAUGGUAGCGCGUUGGGCUCAUAAUCCAAAGGUUGGUGGUUCGAAUCCACUCUGUGCUA
Molecule: transfer RNA, 72 nt
Organism: Vittaforma corneae ATCC 50505
Lineage: Eukaryota; Fungi; Microsporidia; Nosematidae
Rfam family: tRNA
About the family: Transfer RNA (tRNA) molecules are approximately 80 nucleotides in length.
Source: Rfam